Molecule: ribosomal RNA, 393 nt
Filed under: uncultured nitrite-oxidizing bacterium
Lineage: Bacteria
Description: bacterial SSU rRNA
Rfam family: Bacterial small subunit ribosomal RNA
Source: RNAcentral
UAAUACGAAGGUGGCAAGCGUUAUUCGGAUUUACUGGGCGUACAGGGAGCGUAGGCGGUUCGGUAAGCCCUCUGUGAAAUCUCCAGGCUUAACCUGGAAAAGUCGGGGGGGACUGCUGGGCUAGAGGACGGGAGAGGAGCGCGGAAUUCCCGGUGUAGCGGUGAAAUGCGUAGAGAUCGGGAGGAAGGCCGGUGGCGAAGGCGGCGCUCUGGAACGUUUCUGACGCUGAGGCUCGAAAGCGUGGGGAGCAAACAGGAUUAGAUACCCUGGUAGUCCACGCCUUAAACUAUGAAUACUAAGUGUCGGCGGUUUACCGCCGGUGCCGCAGCUAACGCAUUAAGUAUUCCGCCUGGGAAGUACGGCCGCAAGGUUGAAACUUAAAGGAAUUGACGG